Molecule: ribosomal RNA, 253 nt
Filed under: uncultured bacterium
Lineage: Bacteria
Description: partial 16S ribosomal RNA
Rfam family: Bacterial small subunit ribosomal RNA
Source: RNAcentral
UACGAAGGGGGCUAGCGUUGUUCGGAAUUACUGGGCGUAAAGCGCACGUAGGCGGAUACUUAAGUCAGGGGUGAAAUCCCGGGGCUCAACCCCGGAACUGCCUUUGAUACUGGGUAUCUCGAGUCCGAGAGAGGUGAGUGGAAUUCCGAGUGUAGAGGUGAAAUUCGUAGAUAUCUGGAGGAACACCGGUGGCGAAGGCGGCAUCCUGGACCAACACUGACGCUGAGGAGCGAAAGCCAGGGGAGCAAACGGG